Mesocricetus auratus (golden hamster) is the source of this 368-nucleotide long non-coding RNA. RefSeq lists it as uncharacterized. NCBI's taxonomy places the organism in Eukaryota, Metazoa, Chordata, Mammalia, Rodentia, Cricetidae. The record is from RefSeq and is a predicted model, not a curated record. The transcript has 4 exons.
UGCAGAGUCCAGCUAUGAGGAAGCCUGCAAAGGCACAGCUCCCGCCCCUGUUCUCUCAGUUUCCCUUGAGUCUCUCAACAUCCGUCUUCAUGCUUUGUUAGUGCAACCAACAAGGGAGGAAGAAAAGAAUGAAUGAACUGUGGCAGCCACUUUGGAGAAAGGGAGAAAGAGGCUGAACAAAGUUUCUGUGCACCAUGUGUGUGCCUAGCUGCUGAAGAUGCGAAAGAGGGCAUUCUAUAUCUAGAACUGGAGUUACAUAUGGCCGUGUACUACAAGGUUCCUGCCUUGAAAUCCUGUCCUGACUUCCCUCAGCCAUGAAUGCAAGUCAGGAACCAUAAGCUUAAAUAAAUACUUUUCUUUCCAGUUCA